RNAcentral lists this ribosomal RNA (324 nucleotides) under uncultured Desulfobacter sp. Its description in RNAcentral is "bacterial SSU rRNA". It matches the Rfam family "Bacterial small subunit ribosomal RNA", at positions 29 to 334 of the family's 1533-position model. The record is from RNAcentral. Lineage: Bacteria; Pseudomonadati; Thermodesulfobacteriota; Desulfobacteria; Desulfobacterales; Desulfobacteraceae.
AAUGAACGCUGGCGGCGUGCUUAACACAUGCAAGUCGAACGAGAAAGGGACUGCUUGCAGUCCUGAGUAGAGUGGCGCACGGGUGAGUAACACGUAGAUAAUCUACCUUCAAGCCUGGAAUAACUAUUCGAAAGGGUAGCUAAUACCGGAUAAAGUUGGUUGGCAUAAGUCAACUGAUGAAAGAUUGCCUCUUCUUGAAAGCAAUUGUUUGGAGAUGAGUCUGCGGACCAUUAGUUUGUUGGUGGGGUAAAGGCCUACCAAGACUGCGAUGGUUAGCUGGUCUGAGAGGAUGAUCAGCCACACUGGAACUGACACACGGUCCAG